GUCUACAGCCAUACCAUCCUGAAAGCGCCUGAUCCCGUCAAAUCUCAAAUGCAAUCAAGGGUAGGGCUUGUUCAGUACCAGUGUGGGUGACUGACUGGGAAUAGCAAGUGCUGUAGUCC
Ribosomal RNA from Leptobrachium leishanense (Leishan spiny toad), 119 nucleotides. NCBI's taxonomy places the organism in Eukaryota, Metazoa, Chordata, Amphibia, Anura, Megophryidae. The record is from Ensembl.